RNAcentral lists this unclassified non-coding RNA (519 nucleotides) under uncultured Glomus. RNAcentral's name for it is "SSU rRNA". It matches the Rfam family "Eukaryotic small subunit ribosomal RNA", at positions 569 to 1093 of the family's 1831-position model. Lineage: Eukaryota; Fungi; Glomeromycota; Glomeromycetes; Glomerales; Glomeraceae. The record is from RNAcentral.
CGCAGCCGCGGUAAUUCCAGCUCCAAUAGCGUAUAUUAAAGUUGUUGCAGUUAAAAGCUCGUAGUUGAAUUUCGGGAUCAGUUGGUCGGUCGUGCCUCGGUACGUACUGGUCAAAUUGAUUCCUACCUUCUGACGAACCACGAUGUCAUUAAUUUGGUGUCGCGGGAAAUCAGGACUGUUACUUUGAAAAAUUAGAGUGUUUAAAGCAGGCUCGCGCUUGAAUACAUUAGCAUGGAAUAAUGAAAUAGGACGUUUGAUUCUAUUUUGUUGGUUUCUAGGAUCGACGUAAUGAUUAAUAGGGAUAGUUGGGGGCAUUAGUAUUCAAUUGUCAGAGGUGAAAUUCUUGGAUUUAUUGAAGACUAACUACUGCGAAAGCAUUUGCCAAGGAUGUUUUCAUUAAUCAAGAACGAAAGUUAGGGAUCGAAGACGAUCAGAUACCGUCGUAGUCUUAACCAUAAACUAUGCCGACUAGGGAUCGGAUGAUGUUAAUUUUUUAAUGACUCAUUCGGCGCCUUAUAC